RNA transcript from Macadamia integrifolia, 2889 nucleotides. RefSeq lists it as uncharacterized. The record is from RefSeq and is a predicted model, not a curated record. NCBI's taxonomy places the organism in Eukaryota, Viridiplantae, Streptophyta, Magnoliopsida, Proteales, Proteaceae. The transcript has 11 exons.
GGGGCAGUUUUUUUUGUUUUUUUAAUUCCUAGUUAUGAUGUCCUUUGUUUUGGUGAACAUAGUUAUGACGUCCGUUGUUUCAGGGAAUGUGCAGCAAAAGAUACCUUCAUCACUGCCGGCCAGGUUCUGGUGCGGGAGGGAAGAGAAUUGAAUUUGCAGACGGAUUUAAGACAUGGUCUCCACUCUCCAGUGCGAAAAAGACAGGGAAGAAACAACAAAUGGAAUCCAUAAAAUAUAAUACAUUAGCAGGUGAAUGACAAGAGGAAAUUUUAUGAGUGAGUGGGAAGCAAAGAAAAGGAAUGGAUGGAUGAGAGGGCCUUUGGAUUAAAAUAUGCUAAUCUUUGCAGUCAAUUGCUACAGAUAUGGAUUAACUAAUCCAGAUCCAUGAUCCAGACAUAGCACAGGAGAUACCUCUCUCUGUGUUUCCGUGUGCCGCACUACGGUAGUCUCUUUUUCGUACAAAGGGACAGAUAUUGUCUGAAAGGUGUGUUAACCCAUAUAAAUAAAUCUCUCCUUGGGAUUCUCUUUGUCUAAUAGAUAAAACCUCUUCUCCCCAACUGAAAUAAAGAGAUUCAAAGGGUAUAAAGAGUGAUGUGGAAGUCAAUGGCGGUCAUGGCUUUGUUAUUGUGGUUUUCUUUGUUGCUUUGUAGCAUUAGUCGCGGCAUCAGAAGCUCCAGCAUCUCCUUCCCCAAGGAAAACGGGAGGAUUUCGAACUCCAAUAUAGGUAUGGUGGAGGGUUUAGUAGUAGAUCAGAGGAUGAAACUGAAUCAUAACAUUGUGGGUCCAGUGGUAGAGGAGUUUAUCUUUGCCGCAAACUCGGUUCCUUUCAAUAGCUGUCAUGCCUCCACCAUUGUUGAGGUUGCGAAAGAUACUUUUCUGGUUGCCUACUUUGGUGGUUCUCAAGAGGGAGCACCUGAUGUGAAAAUUUGGUUGCAGACUUACAAGGAUGGCUCAUGGCAUCCUCCUAUUGUGGUUGAUGAACAACCUGAUGUGCCAAUGUGGAAUCCUGUCUUAUUUAAGCUUCCAUCAAAUGAAUUGCUACUGUUCUAUAAGAUUGGUCAGGAGGUCCAGAAAUGGAGUGGAUGCAAGAAGCGGUCAUUAGAUGGAGGUAUCACUUGGAUGGAAAGGGAACAACUUCCACCUGGAAUAAUAGGACCAAGCAAGAAUAAGCCUAUCUUACUGGAGGAUGGGCGCUUGCUCUGUGGAUCUUCUGUGGAAAGUUGGAACUCUUGGGGUACAUGGAUUGAGGUCACAGCAGAUGCAGGACAAUCAUGGAUGAAGUUUGGACCAAUAUAUAUAGAGAAUGAAUCUCUCAGCGUGAUCCAACCAGUUCCUUUCAUGACUGCAAAUGGGACGUUACGUGUUCUACUGCGAUCAUUUGAAGGACUAGGUAGAGUUUUUAUGUCAGAAUCCUAUGAUGAGGGUAUGACCUGGAGUUAUGCAAAGCCUACAGAACUCCCGAACCCAAAUUCAGGAAUUGAUGGGGUUAAAUUGAGUGAUGGCCGUCUAUUACUUGCAUACAACACAAUCUCCAGAGGCGUUCUCAAAGUAGCCAUCUCGUUAAAUGAUGGUGACUCCUGGAAUGAGGUGGUAACAUUAGAGGAUAAUUUGGAAAUGGAAUUCUCUUAUCCUGCUGUAAUCCAAGCCAGUGAUGGAUUUGUACAUAUCACUUACACAUAUAACAGGACACAGAUUAAGCAUGUCGUACUCAACCCCAACUAAUUUGUGAAAUCCUAGUCGCCGGAGCUUCAAGAGCUAUAAUUUUAGGAUGUGGAAGGGAUAGGCAUGCCACCUGCUCCAUGUAAGCUAACAAGCGACAAACACAUGAGCUGAAGCUAGAAAGGAAUCAGAACCCAGUUCUCAAACGAUUGCUUGCAAACUUAAACAGUGAAGGCCUGAGGCACACUAGCAUGUACUGGGAGUCAAUUCCAUUGAUACACAUGAAUUGUAAAUUGAAGUUAUUGUUCCAAUAACAUUGGUCCAGGAACUGAUGGGCCAUUGCCACCCCUCUCAGCUGUCUGAACCUGUUUGUUUAAUAAAGAAUAUUUUUCCUUGGAAGGGAAGACAGACCUGGUUUUCCUACAAGGGCAUUAAGGAAAGGAGAUGUCUCUUUGAUGGGCAUUUAGAUCUGCCAUUUGACGGGUUAGUUGGGGCUGAAAUUCUGAGAAUGGUUAGACCCAAGGUCUCUUUUUUACAUGUUAAAUAUCAGACCACUUCAAGUUUGCCAAGUGGCAAAACAAGGAAUUGAGAAAUCUGGGAUUACCAAGAGGGUGCACAAGAAUACAAUGGGGGUGCAUGGAGGCUGAAAUUUGGCACGCAGUCUGUUCUGACAGUUCCCUAGAUAUCAAACAGUAGAUUUGCUUGAACCCUAUUCCUUCUUGGGAAAAGGCAGCGGACUUGAUUGUAGGUAUAUGUGAUGAAAGCUUUGUUAAAGAAACAGAUGAAGCAGGAUGGGCCUCAGUUAUUACCCGAGGGAGAACUUUUGUCACUUUCUUUGAACUAUGGUUGUACAGGGAGUGCUUAAAUAUCUAAAGCUAGCGAAUGCUCCAGGAACUUCAAAAGGCAAGAGAAUUGGGAGCCACAACUAUUUUCCUUCGGACUGAUUGCCAGGCUUUAACUGAAUAGAUGGCAAAUGUAUGGGAACCUGGCCAUGGGAGCGUUUUACUGUUCUCUUGGACAUUAAGUUUGUACUAAAAACUAUUUCUUGAAGUGUCUGGUCAAAGAGAGUAGGGAUUAGAUAGGUAUAGCUCAUGAUAUUGCUAAGUGUGCAAGAGUAGAAAAGCUUUGUACUUAUAUUUCGGACAAUCUUGUAUCCUUUUUCUAUUCUUAAUAGAAUAUUUCUUAUAAAAAAAAGAAAAGAUUUGCCACAUCAUUUUUCAUGUGAUAAAA